This 436-nucleotide ribosomal RNA is filed under the name uncultured bacterium. Its description in RNAcentral is "bacterial SSU rRNA". It matches the Rfam family "Bacterial small subunit ribosomal RNA", at positions 355 to 796 of the family's 1533-position model. The record is from RNAcentral.
UGGGGAAUCUUGCGCAAUGGGCGAAAGCCUGACGCAGCAACGCCGCGUGGGGGAUGAAGCUUCUCGGAGUGUAAACCCCUUUCGACCCGGACGAAUGCCCGCAAGGGUUUGACGGUACGGGUAUAAGAAGCCCCGGCUAACUACGUGCCAGCAGCCGCGGUAAAACGUAGGGGGCCAGCGUUGCUCGGAAUUACUGGGCGUAAAGGGUCCGUAGGCGGUGUGGCAAGUCGGAAGUGAAAUCUCUGGGCUUAACCCAGAGGCUGCUCCCGAAACUGCUGUGCUAGAGUGCGAGAGAGGCGAGUGGAAUUGCAGGUGUAGCGGUGAAAUGCGUAGAUAUCUGCAGGAACAUCCGAGGCGAAAGCGGCUCGCUGGAUCGCAACUGACGCUGAGGGACGAAAGCUAGGGGAGCAAACAGGAUUAGAUACCCCGGUAGUCC